CGUUGACUGAUGUACAUUUUGUACAUGUAUGAAACGCAGAAGAUCUUCAUACAAGUGCAUGAUUCUUUUUUAGAAAUACAUUUUCUUUACAUCAAACUAUUAAAAAUGUUCACAAUCGUAAUAAGAAUCCAAGGGACAAUCAAAAACUCAAAAUCGCAGAAAGCGACAAAUACAUAUUAUUUCUUAGAAUUUCAAAUGUAAUGGUUUAAAAUAGAGUAAAUCCAUGGACAAACAGUUAAAAGUAACGUGUACAAUGUGUUUACACAAAACUAAAAUAAUUCGAACUACAUGUACAUAAUAUAUUAUAUAGUCAGUAACGUGGUGAACAUUGAAGUCCAUUGGCUUCAAAAUUUUAUUACCGUUUAGUUAACGUUCACAUCCUUAUUUUGUACCGCCUUGGUUGUCUUGUGGUGGCGUGCUCGAGGUGAGCACGGCAGGUCAUAGGUUCUAUUCUAUGUCAUGGUCAAACAAAAUAGUUUGCAAGUAGUAUAUGCUGCUUCUCCGCUCAGCAUGUGCAUUAAAAAGUUUGAGCAAAUAUUGGUCAGCUCGGAGUCCAGAAAGGAUUACAUGUCUUCAUGUGGACUGCUGCUUUGUAAUAUAGUACGUUAAAAAAUCCGGCUCAGCAUGUCGGUCUUGUACAAAGUACGGUGUGAAACCAAGUGUGUUUAAAUGUUGACGAACUACAUUGUUAUAUGUGUCGUGCGUUUCAGGUGUGAUAGUAGACAAGGAUGCGUGCCAUUGCACCCAGAAAUGUCGACUGAAAAACUUUCUACAUUGAUGUAUGAUAACCAGCAAACAACCUUACCCAUAAAUGUUUCGGGAUAUACUAUGAAUAUUGUUUACAACGAAAGCCAUCACACACCAACUGAUGUAUAUGAAAAUAAAACGGAUAGUACAGAGGGAAAUGGUGAACGUAUAAAUGACAGUGAUUAUAUAAACUACGUGAUCUGGAUUGGAUGUAUUCUAUUCAUAAUCCUGAUUGUCGUAAGCAGUAGUAUAUGCUAUAUCUUGAAUAACAAUCUACUACUGAAACAUUCCGCAAAUGUCAAAAGUAUACUACAAGACAAAGAAACAACUGCAGGUGUUCUUAAUCGGCCUGAAAGCGUCACAGGACCAUGUGACAUAAUAAAUGAGCAAACUUUGUAUCUAGAUCAUGCAAUUGAGAUACAAGUGGUAACCGGAGAAGCUUUAGGCAAAAAUAGCAAUGAGGAUUGAUAUAAAAAAUUGCAACAUUCCACAAUAAUAAAAAAAUAACAGGUGGUUCAACAAAUGACCAGAAAACUAUGAUGUGCAUGGGUAUUACACGGUUGCACUACCUCAACCAGCGACUGCACACAUUAUCAGAUACUGUGAGCCCCUAGACCAACGAUCAAUAAGACAGAUGGUGUUAAUUCUCAUGAGACUUAAUGUUUUACUUU
Long non-coding RNA from Mytilus californianus (California mussel), 1418 nucleotides. RefSeq lists it as uncharacterized. The transcript is spliced from 4 exons. The record is from RefSeq and is a predicted model, not a curated record. Lineage: Eukaryota; Metazoa; Mollusca; Bivalvia; Mytilida; Mytilidae.